GACGAACGCUGGCGGCGUGCUUAACACAUGCAAGUCGAACGGAAAGGCCCUGCUUUUGUGGGGUGCUCGAGUGGCGAAAGGGUGAGUAACACGUGAGUAACCUGCCCUUGACUUUGGGAUAACUUCAGGAAACUGGGGCUAAUACCGGAUAGGAGCUCCUGCUGCAUGGUGGGGGUUGGAAAGUUUCGGCGGUUGGGGAUGGACUCGCGGCUUAUCAGCUUGUUGGUGGGGUAGUGGCUUACCAAGGCUUUGACGGGUAGCCGGCCUGAGAGGGUGACCGGCCACAUUGGGACUGAGAUACGGCCCAGACUCCUACGGGAGGCAGCAGUGGGGAAUAUUGCAAAAUGGGCGGAAGCCUGAUGCAGCAACGCCGCGUGCGGGAUGACGGCCUUCGGGUUGUAAACCGCUUUCGCCUGUGACGAAGCGUGAGUGACGGUAAUGGGUAAAGAAGCACCGGCUAACUACGAG
This 468-nucleotide ribosomal RNA is filed under the name uncultured bacterium. Its description in RNAcentral is "partial 16S ribosomal RNA". It matches the Rfam family "Bacterial small subunit ribosomal RNA", at positions 28 to 507 of the family's 1533-position model. The record is from RNAcentral.